CGUGCUUUAGAGCGGUUAAUUCGCCUCCAACCAGUAAUCCUCCGCAAUCGGAGGUCACCGUGCCCUGUACAUGAGAUUAAACAAUUAUUCAUAAAUCUACUUAUAUCCAAUGUAUCUUAAAGGAGAAUUUUAAAAUAGACUAGCGCAUUAUUAAUAUUAUAUGACGAUUCAACUUACCGAUGGCGAUUGUCUAAUAGGGGAGGUAGACGCUGUGGUCGCUGGGAUUUCGUGCGUCCUCAGAAGGCAAGGAACGCUCGUCUGUUCCGGUACCGAAUCUUCUACAUCCCCUAAUAACGAUAUCUUUAUGCACAGAAGAUGGAGACGGUUGCGACUGUUCAUUCGGAAUUUCGUCUUGGUCCUCGUAAACGUCACGAUGAUUCUCACCGUGCUCCCUCUCUCUCUCUUUCUCCCCCCGGUCCCGUUCUUCCGUGGCGUUGUUUAAACUUAAUUUAUGGCACACCUCGAAAGCCUGUCCUACCGUUCUGACCACCCUCAUCGCUUGACUCUAACGAAAUCCAACUUUUUCAAUUGAACGUACAAGUAAGUAUAAUAUUUAGAGGUGACGAGGGCUAAUUGUCGCAUAACAUGCAGAUAUUAAGGUGAAUUUGUGCCUGAUCAUGAAACUUCAAGUACUGAAAGAUCAAAAUUCGACGCAAGCAUGUUGGAACUUUGAAGUUUUAAGGAUAAUUUCAGUCUAGUGGAAAACAUAAUAAUUUAAAACGUCAAAAGUCUGGAAAUUCCGAAUUUUCAGAAGAUCAACAUUUAAAAUCCAAGUUCCCAAAUUUUGGAAUAAUUAAUUUUAAUUUUCCAAAAUUCAAAAUAUACAAAUUUUUGAACUUCAGAUUUGUAAAUUUCCAAAUUCCUGCAAGACUUUUGGAUCCCCAAAUCCUUAAAUUUUCAAAUUUCUGGAUUUUCUAAUUCAUAAACAAUUAAAUCUCUUGAUCUCCAAAUUAUUGGAACUAUUUAUUUUUAAAUUCCCAAAUGCUCAAAUUUUGAAUUUUUCAAACUUUUGCGUCUCCAAAUAUUUCAAUUUCGAAAAGAUUAAGAUUUUAACGUGCCCUUAAUUCCUUACUGAGGACUUUUAGGUGCUAAAAUAUUCACUCGCCACAAACUUCAAACAAUCUAAUUCUAAACUUAAACCUAAACCAUCUGAACUGUAUUCGAAAACACUUUGAUAUAUCAAUGUCCCAAUUUCUACCAAAUCUAAUCUCCACCAAACUUCAUUUCCAAAAUCAAAAAGUCCAACUAUAAACAAAAAAAAAAAAAAAAAAAUACAAAAGAAAAUGCUAUAAAAAAUUUG
This 1300-nucleotide unclassified non-coding RNA is filed under the name Bombus terrestris (buff-tailed bumblebee). Its description in RNAcentral is "misc RNA ENSBTSG00005019649.1". Lineage: Eukaryota; Metazoa; Arthropoda; Insecta; Hymenoptera; Apidae. The record is from RNAcentral.